RNAcentral lists this long non-coding RNA (855 nucleotides) under Monodelphis domestica (gray short-tailed opossum). Its description in RNAcentral is "lncRNA (ENSMODG00000043521.1)". The record is from RNAcentral. Lineage: Eukaryota; Metazoa; Chordata; Mammalia; Didelphimorphia; Didelphidae.
ACUUUAUUAAUAUAUUAUUAUGAAAUAUUAAAAUAAUUUAAUUUAAUAUUAAAAUAUAUUUAUAAAUUUUAUUUUUCUGAUAUAUGUAAUAUGUACUUAUACAUAUUUUACAUUAGAAUUUAAAUGCACUGUGAGGAGGGAUUUUUCAGUUCUUUUUCCUUGCAUUCCUACUGCCUAGCCCAUUUCCUGGCAUGUAGUAGGUAUUUAAUAAUUAUCUGUUGAUUGAGUAAAGGUCUCUUCUAGCUCUAAAGACUAUAAAUGUGUUACCAAAUACACCAUUCUAGACCCAGAGUCAGAGUAAUCAUAUUCUGAAUUAGUCAAAAGGGGAGCCACAUCAUCAUCCUCUUGGAGUAAGAUGUGGAAGGGGCAGGACUCCAAGCCUUCUUCUUCUCAUCUUGCCAGAAGAACUGAUUUGUUCAAGCCCUAAGAUACACCAGAGUCAAGUUUGUGAGGAUCAUUUGGCUGUUCCAACAUUCCACUUUACAAACAUUCUACCUGGAGCUUGAGGACUAUUACUGCUUCCCUAUCACACUACCUCCCUUCCUGUGUGACUACAGAAUUUUCUUGGUUAUAAAGGAAUGGCUCUCUGGGGAAAGAACUUCAAGAGAAAAUUUAAGGUCAAUGAGUAUCCAGAGAUAAAAUGAACCAGGUUAUGGACUCAUGAACUUCAAAAGGUCAGAAGAACCAUCAGAAUUCCCCUCAGCAACCAGUCAAUAGCCCAGAGCUGGUCAGAACAUUAGCUAAGUCCAUUAUGGAGUGGUACCUGAGAAGUGAUUUCUUGACUCAUUGCAACAAGAUGCUGACCCAGCACCUGGGACAUUGCAUCCUUUAAGGAGUUAGCCCAGCUGAGAAAGG